This 3624-nucleotide long non-coding RNA is filed under the name Solanum tuberosum (potato). Its description in RNAcentral is "long non-coding RNA (STUB_LNC002531)". Lineage: Eukaryota; Viridiplantae; Streptophyta; Magnoliopsida; Solanales; Solanaceae. The record is from RNAcentral.
CCCCCCACAAAUCCAACCACAUUACUUUUACAUUGAGGUCCAAAGCACUUCUCAACGACCUCAAUAUUUGUAAGAGAUGAAUUAAGAUUGAAUCACUUUCUAGAUCUCAACCUAUAAAACACAAGACAUAUUAAAAUAAUAAAGCACAUAAACUUUAAUGGUGUAGCAUGAAAUUUAUGAGUAAACAUACUUAUUUUGCAUUUGUUUCAGGUUCGACAAGCUUGUUAUCCUUCUUACGUGUCUCAAAGAAGAUAGUAUCCAUUUUUGGUGGCUUACCAUCUUUUCCUUCCUUCACAUAUAAAUAUAGUGGUAAAAGAAAUCAAAUUAACAGAGAAGAGGCUUUCUAAAAAGCUUCUUGCUUUACUUACUAAUUCAUAAAUAAUCUCUCUAAUAGGCUUACUACUAGUGCGAUGAGGCAUACACAACUUAAGAAUUAUUGACUGAGUUUCUUGUACUUAUUUCCUAUAUCAACAAACCACCAUUGAAAUUAUGGUCAUCCAAUUAAAAUAACUUGCUAAUAGAUCAUAGGUAUGAAUUAAUACCUUUGACUAUUCACUUAAGAAAAGCUCUCUAACAAGUCAUUCCCAAUCACCCUUGUCUACAUCUUUUGACACAUCUUUUAGAGUAUCACAUAAUGUGUUAGACUUCACAUUCUUGUGGAGUGAUCCUCUCCAAUUAUUUAACAACCUUCACACUUGUUGCAAGAAAUGUUCUUUUUUAUCAUUCUUGCGUCACCGACAAAUUUAUCCUACAAUAUUACAGAAGUCUCAUUUUCAUAUUUUCAAGAAAGAUGCAAUACUAGAUUCAAGAAGGUUUUAUAAGAAUUAACAAUGUAAAAUCAUGACCCAUAUUUCAAGGAUGAAAUAACAUAUACAAGGAGGAAAUAACAUAAACAUAUUUCUUAUGAGCAUGUAAUGAAGGUGUUAAAGCCUAGUACCAGCAUCGGUGCACCAUAAAGGCCUAUACUAGCAAGUAUCAGUAAGUUGCCUAUUUAAGUUCUAUUAGAACAAAUCCAGUAAACAAGGCCCUGCUCCAAAGUUUCAUGGGUUCUAGCUACAGUGAUCGCUAAGUACAUCGUAUUCACUUGAUCUUAGAUGUUUCUUAGUUUAUUUAGUAUGGUAGAUAACUGUUUGACUUUGUAGCUGGUGCUUGUAAAGAUACUAGUUUCUUGGUUUUAAUAUAAAAAAUGCUAGUUAUCAGAAUAAAGUAACAUCAACACUAACUAUGAGAGAGUGGUAUAUAUACUAAUUGGGUCUAUUAUCUAUCUACCAAUGGAUCAUAAAUGUGAGUUGCAGCCACAAUCAAUUGAUGCGUAGGCUGUUGCAACUAAAUGUAGUAGGCUUGGUAUGGUACUUACUCAUCUAGCCUAGACACAAAUUUAUUGUCUGGCAAGCAACUGGCUAAUCAAGAGAAAUUGCUAACAAAAGAGAGGAAGAUUUGACUACAAAUACAAUUAGAAGAUGACAAGUGUUGUAUAUAUAAAGAUAACAAGCUGGAAACUCGAUUAGAUCUAUUAUCAAAAUGUACUCACUACUCAGCUUGCCGGAGAGUGUAGGAGUUGUCCAGAUCAACGAUCGAUCUCCUGGCAGCCUCAUUUGGGGGGACAAAGUAGUUGGUAAUAUUCUAUGAAGGCAACAAACGAUUCACUAUGUACUGAAAAUGAAAUGCUAUUUGUAAAAAAACAACACUCAAGACAGAACUAGCAAAUUGGAGUACAAAAGAUGAAGGUAACAAAAAGCUUAAUAUGGAUAAAGGGAAGGCGCUCGAAAAAUAUGAAAAAGAAUUAGUUACGGCUAUAUGGGGAGAUAGAAUCUACCACACUUGGAGAGAAACAAAUUGAAAAAUAUUCAGAGAGACAGCUAAAAAUACAGAUAUUACAUUUGUACAAAUAAUAAAGAGAUAGCUAAAAGAGUGGAUUUCUUGAAACACAAUAGGAAAGUUAAUAGAUGUAGAUACCUGGUCGAAGAAAUUUGUAACUAGGUGAUACAAAUUUACUUUAUGUGCAGAACAAAAUAGUCCAUAUCAGCAUCAUCCAGCUUAAAAAAUUAAAGAAAAUAAUGUUGUAAAUCCUUACCAUAACAACAUUCCACAUGUAUUCUAGCCUAUCGAUCUUUUAUUACGUACCCUCAAUGGACACAUAUGUUUUCACACUAAUGAGACUUGUAGGAUUCAGACAUUUAUAGGAAGUUUUUUGUCCUUUCUCACCUAAAAUACAAUGGAACUUCAGGACAAAAAAAAUCUUUGCUUAGAGACUUUUUAGAAGCUACACUCAAAUAGCUCACCCUUACUAAAGGAAGAAUGCCCUGAUCAGUUUCACACUGGGAGAAGGAUGGUACCGAUCAGAGAAAGUAGUGCUAAGUAUAUUCUACGCAAAGUUGGGCCUGAGAAGAUUUUAAAUUUUUUGAAUAACUAGACUAGUAAAGUGCAGUUGGCUAGCACCAUCAAUAGUCCCCCUAAAGGAAGAACCCAAGAGUGACUAAUUUUAUUCAUAAUGUAUAUUGGAAAGUGAACAUGUUUAAAGUUGUUUUCCCUUAACAAGUAGUUCAGAAAAUUAUGAGCAUCCAAAUUUAUGAUGAAUAAAAGAUCUACGAAUUCGGUCCAUCCACUAUAGUGGAAAAUUCACCUGUCACAAUACUUCAGAGUCUGCUAUGAGAUAGAGAAACAACCAAUGCAUUACUUCAAACAUGAUCUGGCAUCGUAAAAUGAAAUAUCACUUUCAAGAUAUCAUUUUUUGAUUAUGAGACUAUCGAGAAUUAGACUGCCAAUUGACAGUUCCCUCUAAAAAUUCAAAGUUCUUGGCCACUCUAGGUGUUGUUGGUGCAAACAGUAUUUCGAUGAAAGUAUGGAACACAAGUUUUAUAACAAUGGCUUGGUUAAAUACGUACAAACCUUUAGCAACACGAACAUAAUUAAGGAUAUGACUAAACUACAGUAGUGCACAAAGCAAAAUAACAUUAAGUUAAAAUAAAAGGAAAAAAAACCUAACGGAUACUCAAAAAUUAGGGAAAAUAAAAAAUUUGAAAAAUUUAGACAUUCCACAAAGCAAUUGAGAGUAAAAAUAAUACAAACUUACCUUGAAGAGAAGAAAACGCAAGUGUUGAGAAAACUAAUAAGCCCAUAAGCAGUAAGAAGAGAAGAUUGGUUCUCUUUAAGGAAUAAUAGAAUGUGUACUACAAUUAAAAUAGAGAGAUCUUGUUGCCUACUUAAAUAGAAGGAACUAAGAGACCUUCGGCCUAAUUUCUCUUAAUAAACAUUGAAAUUGACGUACCUUAUUCAUUUUGAUCUUAUAUGUUUCUUGAUUGUCCUCUGGCUAAUUUUCUUCCAACAAAUUGACACUCCUAAUUUUAAACUGAGGGAGCCCUAUGGCUAGAUAAAUUUAGGGUUAAUACAGACUUGGGCAGAAUAAAAAAUCCCCAAAUCUCAAAUAGAAUAGGAGAGAAGAAGGUAUUGCAGAUUUUACACAAAUUUCUCUAUUGGUACUGGAGAUAAGUUGUGCUUCAGUUAGGAUUCUCUAAUAGAAUGAUAGAAGAUCAGAAACUUCAUUAGUGAAUCUAUUUUCUUACGGAGAGGAGGAGUGGGGUAUGUGGACUAUUUUUUUAUGGAGAGGAGGGGUGGCGUAUGUCG